UGUCGACUUGGAGGUUGUGCCCUUGAGUCGUGGCUUCCGGAGCUAACGCGUUAAGUCCACCGCCUGGGGAGUACGGCCGCAAGGUUAAAACUCAAAUGAAUUGACGGGGGCCCGCACAAGCGGUGGAGCAUGUGGUUUAUUUCGAUGCAACGCGAAGAACCUUACCUGGUCUUGACAUCCACAGAACUUUCCAGAGAUGGAUUGGUGCCUUCGGGAACUAUGAGACAGGUGCUGCAUGGCUGUCGUCAGCUCGUGUUGUGAAAUGUUGGGUUAAGUCCCGCAACGAGCGCAACCCUUAUCCUUUGUUGCCAGCGGUCCGGCGGGGAACUCAAAGGAGACUGCCAGUGAUAAACUGGAGGAAGGUGGGGAUGACGUCAAGUCAUCAUGGCCCUUACGACCAGGGCUACACACGUGCUACAAUGGCGCAUACAAAGAGAAGCGACCUCGCGAGAGCAAGCGGACCUCAUAAAGUGCGUCGUAGUCCGGAUUGGAGUCUGCAACUCGACUCCAUGAAGUCGGAAUCGCUGGUAAUCGUGGAUCAGAAUGCCACGGUGAAUACGUUCCCGGGCCUUGUACACACCGCCCGUCACACCAUGGGAGU
This 601-nucleotide ribosomal RNA is filed under the name Escherichia coli. Its description in RNAcentral is "bacterial SSU rRNA". It matches the Rfam family "Bacterial small subunit ribosomal RNA", at positions 810 to 1411 of the family's 1533-position model. The record is from RNAcentral. Lineage: Bacteria; Pseudomonadati; Pseudomonadota; Gammaproteobacteria; Enterobacterales; Enterobacteriaceae.